UUUAAAUUCUCAUUCUGGAAGAUCACUUUCAGAUUUAUAAACACAAUCACUUAAACAGCAAGCAACACAUUUUCAUGUUUUUCAGAAAUAAAACAAAAUCUCUGCUUUUCUAGCUGUAAACUACUAGUGAGUUUCAUUUGCAAUAAAUAGAGACAUUUACUCACCAAUCUUACUCAUAAUUAAAAUCUUCAUGCAUUACCCCUGGUCCAUUAUUUAGGGAUUACCCAGUUAUGAUCCAAU
Non-coding RNA from Pelobates cultripes (western spadefoot toad), 240 nucleotides. Lineage: Eukaryota; Metazoa; Chordata; Amphibia; Anura; Pelobatidae. The record is from the annotation of a GenBank genome assembly.